GGCUCAGGAUCAGAAUUCUACACUACAGACAAGGUUCUGUUUUGUAAACAUCUUCAAUUCCUUCAAAAGGGAGUUAGCUUCCUCGCCAUUUCACGCUUGAAAAUAAAGGCUGAGGAGGAAAAGAAACAAGGAAAACAAGUAAAAUGCAGAAGAAAUUUGACAUUUUUUGAAUGCCAUUUCUUAUUUUUAUUUGUAAAUAUACAUUCCACUAAAACAAAGGACAGUAGUGUACUGUUGAUAGUAUUAUGAAUUGGUCAAGCAAUUAUAGAAAGAAAUUUGGAAUGCACACACUGAAAUUGCUAUGUUUUUCUUACUCUUUGACCCAGGCAUAGUAAUUACUGGGCAUUUCUAUGGCA
Molecule: long non-coding RNA, 356 nt
Filed under: Monodelphis domestica (gray short-tailed opossum)
Lineage: Eukaryota; Metazoa; Chordata; Mammalia; Didelphimorphia; Didelphidae
Description: lncRNA (ENSMODG00000037437.1)
Source: RNAcentral